AAAGUACUCCCUCCGUCCCAAAAUUCUUGUCUUAGAUUUGUCUAGAAAUGGAUGUAUCAAGUCACAUUUUAGUAUUAGAUACAUCCGUAUCUAGACAAAUCUAAGACAAGAAAUUUGGAACAGAGAGAGUAGUUG
Triticum aestivum (bread wheat) is the source of this 135-nucleotide non-coding RNA. The record is from Rfam. NCBI's taxonomy places the organism in Eukaryota, Viridiplantae, Streptophyta, Magnoliopsida, Poales, Poaceae.